AAAUUGAAGAGUUUGAUCAUGGCUCAGAUUGAACGCUGGCGGCAGGCCUAACACAUGCAAGUCGAACGGUAACAGGAAACAGCUUGCUGUUUCGCUGACGAGUGGCGGACGGGUGAGUAAUGUCUGGGAAACUGCCUGAUGGAGGGGGAUAACUACUGGAAACGGUAGCUAAUACCGCAUAACGUCGCAAGACCAAAGAGGGGACCCUCGGGCCUCUUGCCAUCGGAUGUGCCCAGAUGGGAUUAGCUUGUUGGUGGGGUAACGGCUCACC
RNAcentral lists this ribosomal RNA (271 nucleotides) under Escherichia coli. RNAcentral's name for it is "partial 16S ribosomal RNA". It matches the Rfam family "Bacterial small subunit ribosomal RNA", at positions 1 to 269 of the family's 1533-position model. RNAcentral also lists the same sequence under 1 other name. Lineage: Bacteria; Pseudomonadati; Pseudomonadota; Gammaproteobacteria; Enterobacterales; Enterobacteriaceae. The record is from RNAcentral.